UCCAUUUCUUGCUCGACUGGCAGUGGUGGCGUACUUGUUUUGUCCUUUGCUUGCUUGACUGGAGGUGUUGGUGUACUUGUCUUGUCCUUUGCUUGCUUGACUGGAGGUGUUGGCAUACUUGUCUUGUCCAUUGCUUGCUUGACUGGAGGUGUUGGCAUACUUGUCUUGUCCUUUCCUUGCUUGACUGGAGGUGUUGGCAUACUUGUCUUGUCCAUUCCUUGCUUGACUGGAGGUGUUGGCAUACUUGUCUUGUCCUUUCCUUGCUUGACUGGAGGUGUUGGCAUACUUGUCUUGUCCUUUCCUUGCUUGACUGGAGGUGUUGGCGUACAUGUCUUGUCCAUUCCUUGCUUGACUGGAGGUGUUGGCAUACUUGUCUUGUCCAUUCCUUGCUUGACUGGAGGUGUUGGCGUACAUGUCUUGUCCAUUCCUUGCUUGACUGGAGGUGUUGGUGUACUUGUCUUGUCCAUUCCUUGCUUGACUGGAGGUGUUGGUGUACUUGUCUUGUCCAUUCCUUGCUUGACUGGAGGUGUUGGCGUACAUGUCUUGUCCAUUGCUUGGUUGACUGGAGGUGUUGGUGUACUUGUCUUGUUCAUUCCUUGCUUGACUGGCAGUGGUGUCAUACUUUGUGUCUCCAUCUCCUUUCUCUCUUGUUUGA
Molecule: long non-coding RNA, 655 nt
Organism: Eriocheir sinensis (Chinese mitten crab)
Lineage: Eukaryota; Metazoa; Arthropoda; Malacostraca; Decapoda; Varunidae
Exons: 5
Source: RefSeq, a predicted model, not a curated record